RNAcentral lists this ribosomal RNA (253 nucleotides) under uncultured bacterium. RNAcentral describes it as "partial 16S ribosomal RNA". It matches the Rfam family "Bacterial small subunit ribosomal RNA", at positions 524 to 776 of the family's 1533-position model. The record is from RNAcentral.
UACGAAGGGGGCUAGCGUUGCUCGGAAUGACUGGGCGUAAAGGGCGCGUAGGCGGAUGGCACAGUCAGAUGUGAAAUUCCCGGGCUUAACCUGGGGGCUGCAUUUGAUACGUGUUGUCUAGAGUGAGGAAGAGGGUUGUGGAAUUCCCAGUGUAGAGGUGAAAUUCGUAGAUAUUGGGAAGAACACCGGUGGCGAAGGCGGCAACCUGGACCGGCAUUGACGCUGAGGAGCGAAAGCCAGGGGAGCAAACGGG